RNAcentral lists this ribosomal RNA (765 nucleotides) under uncultured Streptococcus sp. Its description in RNAcentral is "bacterial SSU rRNA". It matches the Rfam family "Bacterial small subunit ribosomal RNA", at positions 28 to 776 of the family's 1533-position model. Lineage: Bacteria; Bacillati; Bacillota; Bacilli; Lactobacillales; Streptococcaceae. The record is from RNAcentral.
GACGAGCGCUGGCGGCGUGCCUAAUACAUGCAAGUAGAACGCUGAAGGAAGGAGCUUGCUCUUUCCGGAUGAGUUGCGAACGGGUGAGUAACGCGUAGGUAACCUGCCUGGUAGUGGGGGAUAACUAUUGGAAACGAUAGCUAAUACCGCAUAACAGUAGAUAUCGCAUGAUAGCUGCUUGAAAGGUGCAAUUGCACCACUACCAGAUGGACCUGCGUUGUAUUAGCUAGUUGGUGAGGUAACGGCUCACCAAGGCAACGAUACAUAGCCGACCUGAGAGGGUGAUCGGCCACACUGGGACUGAGACACGGCCCAGACUCCUACGGGAGGCAGCAGUAGGGAAUCUUCGGCAAUGGACGGAAGUCUGACCGAGCAACGCCGCGUGAGUGAAGAAGGUUUUCGGAUCGUAAAGCUCUGUUGUAAGAGAAGAACGAGUGUGAGAGUGGAAAGUUCACACUGUGACGGUAUCUUACCAGAAAGGGACGGCUAACUACGUGCCAGCAGCCGCGGUAAUACGUAGGUCCCGAGCGUUGUCCGGAUUUAUUGGGCGUAAAGCGAGCGCAGGCGGUUAGAUAAGUCUGAAGUUAAAGGCUGUGGCUUAACCAUAGUACGCUUUGGAAACUGUUUAACUUGAGUGCAAGAGGGGAGAGUGGAAUUCCAUGUGUAGCGGUGAAAUGCGUAGAUAUAUGGAGGAACACCGGUGGCGAAAGCGGCUCUCUGGCUUGUAACUGACGCUGAGGCUCGAAAGCGUGGGGAGCAAACAGG